RNAcentral lists this unclassified non-coding RNA (337 nucleotides) under Hevea brasiliensis (rubber tree). The record is from RNAcentral. Lineage: Eukaryota; Viridiplantae; Streptophyta; Magnoliopsida; Malpighiales; Euphorbiaceae.
UUCACUCUUUAUCUCGUAUUUUCGCGAAAAUGAUUUCUCCUGAACAAGUUGUCCGUUGUCCACAGGUAAAGUACCCAAUUCACUCUUUAUCUCGUAUUUUCGCGAAAAUGAUUUCUCCUGAACAAGUUGUCCGUUGUCCACAGGUAAAGUACCCAAUUCACCCUCCUCAACUUCAUCUUUUGCAGCGUCACCAUUAGACUCAAUUUCUUUAACAACACUCUUAGAACUCAAGUUCACUACUUUUUUCUCCCUUUUUGCCUUCAUCUUACCAUUCAUCUUUUUCUUCUUCUUCUUCACAGUUGCUGUAGUAGAAUUUAAAGAAGAAGUACUGAACGUG